GGAUCUCGCCCUCCCUGUGGCUGCUCCUGCUUGGGGGGCCUGCCUGCCUGAAGACCCAGGAACACCCCAGCUGCCCAGGACCCAGGGAACUGGAAGCCAGCAAAGUUGUCCUCCUGCCCAGUUGUCCCGGAGCUCCAGGAAGUCCUGGGGAGAAGGGAGCCCCAGGUCCUCAAGGUGAGAGAGGCUGGGGAGGAGGCUGGGAUCUUGGGAACGGGGAAGGCAGGAAUGUGGCAAGUUUUGUCUGUGCUGAGGGGCCACGACAAAGGAGCAAGGAACCUACUCUGUGCCAGCUCCAGGCUGGGCACCCGGCAUCCUAAGAUCAACUCUGCCAGGUAGGUGGUUUCAUCCCUAUUCUGCUGAGGAGGAAAGGGAGGUUCAGAGAGGAUAAGAUAUUUGCCCGCAAUCACAAAGUGAGUGAAGGGUGAAACUGGGAUUUGAACCUCUGGCUCCAAGUCUCUUGUUUCUUUUUGGUCCUGGGCAUGGGGUGGGACUCAGGAAAUCUCUGCCUUUGAGAUUUCAGGGCAACCUGGACCACCAGGCAAGAUGGGCCCCAAGGGUGAGCCGGGUGAGUAAGUGGGGCUGGAGGCCUUCCCGCUUUCUUUACCUCUGUCCCUGGACUCUAGGGUGGGAUCUCUGCUUGGUGCUGCACCUAUGAUGGCUCUCUCACAGGGGAAUGGAUGGCUGGGAGGAGUGGAGAGGAUUAGGAGAAGGGCCUGGGUACCCUAUGAUGGCCCUCCUACAGGGUAUGGAAGGCUGGGAGGAGUGGGAAGGAUUCGGAAAAGGGCCAGGGUACCGGCUCCGCUGGUGGCUCAGCGCUGGGGUGCAGAGACGUCAGAGCCAACACUCGUCCCUUCU
Molecule: small RNA, 855 nt
Filed under: Pongo abelii (Sumatran orangutan)
Lineage: Eukaryota; Metazoa; Chordata; Mammalia; Primates; Hominidae
Description: retained intron
Source: RNAcentral